Molecule: ribosomal RNA, 252 nt
Filed under: uncultured prokaryote
Description: partial 16S ribosomal RNA
Rfam family: Bacterial small subunit ribosomal RNA
Source: RNAcentral
ACGGAAGGUGCAAGCGUUAGUCGGAAUUAUUGGGCGUAAAGGGUGCGUAGGCGGCAUUCUAAGUUGGUUAUGAAAUUCUGUGGGCUCAACCCCAGACCUAUAACCAAAACUGGAAUGCUUGAGGGAUGGCGGAGAAAACGGAAUUCCAUGUGUAGCGGUGAAAUGCGUAGAUAUAUGGAAGAACACCUGUGGCGAAAGCGGUUUUCUAGCCUAGUCCUGACGCUAAGGCACGAAAGCAAGGGGAGCAAACAG